RNAcentral lists this ribosomal RNA (952 nucleotides) under Melanconis alni. RNAcentral describes it as "SSU rRNA". It matches the Rfam family "Eukaryotic small subunit ribosomal RNA", at positions 614 to 1550 of the family's 1831-position model. Lineage: Eukaryota; Fungi; Ascomycota; Sordariomycetes; Diaporthales; Melanconidaceae. The record is from RNAcentral.
UGCAGUUAAAGCUCGUAGUUGAACCUUGGGCCUGGCUGGCCGGUCUGCCUCACCGCAUGCACUGGUCCGGCCGGGCCUUUCCCUCUGGGGAGCCGCAUGCCCUUCACUGGGUGUGUCGGGGAACCAGGACUUUUACUGUGAAAAAAAAUUAGAGUGUUCAAAGCAGGCCUAUGCUCGAAUACAUUAGCAUGGAAUAAUAGAAUAGGACGUUGCGGUUCUAUUUUGUUGGUUUCUAGGACCGCCGUAAUGAUUAAUAGGGACAGUCGGGGGCAUCAGUAUUCAAUCGUCAGAGGUGAAAUUCUUGGAUCGAUUGAAGACUAACUACUGCGAAAGCAUUUGCCAAGGAUGUUUUCAUUAAUCAGGAACGAAAGUUAGGGGAUCGAAAACGAUCAGAUACCGUUGUAGUCUUAACCAUAAACUAUGCCGACUAGGGAUCGGGCGAUGUUUUUCUUUGACUCGCUCGGCACCUUACACGAAAGUAAAGUUUUUGGGUUCUGGGGGGAGUAUGGUCGCAAGGCUGAAACUUAAAGAAAUUGACGGAAGGGCACCACAAGGGGUAAACGCUUACAGCUUCGCCGCAGUAGCUCUGCUCCUAAAAGCAGCCUGAAAGGGUAAUGUGGUAGUUCCUGGCAUAUGCCGAAUUUGAAUGCUAGUCCUCUCUUGCGAGGGCGACACCCCCAAACUGCGGGAAACUCCUAAAGCACUUGCUCCAAAGCCAGUCUCCGAAAGGUACUGGUGGCCAGGUUAAUAGCCUCGGGUACUGGAAAAACGCAAAGUGAUGUUACAAUGGACAAUCCGCAUCCCAGCCCCUAAGGUCAGUUAUGGCUAUGGGGAAGGUUCAGAGACUAGACGGGGGUGGGUUGGAAACAAACCCAUCGUAUUCUCAAGAAAAUGUUAUGGGCAAGUCCGGCUUAAGAUAUAGUCCGUGCCAACGACGAAAUUCGUUGGAUCU